AUUACAAACUAGACCGAGUCAGAUUUCUUCUACCAUCUAACAUACAUAUACAUUAUAUAUCUUAAUACAUAUACAUAUACAUAUAUGCAUACAUAUACAUAUACAUAUAUAUAUAUAUAUAUAUAUUAUAUAUUUAUAUAUAUUAUAUUCAAAUCACUGCCAUCGUUUUGAGGGCUUUGUUGAAGAACUGGCAGUGGCGACAGCAGUAAUUUUCCUCGCACCUGAUAUACAUUUUGAGAAAAAGAAAGGGUGAGGACAAGAAAUAAAAUUUAAGAAACAGAUAGAGAAGGGUCCAGUCAGACAGGGUAUUUGGAUAAAAUUAU
RNAcentral lists this long non-coding RNA (323 nucleotides) under Theobroma cacao (cacao). RNAcentral describes it as "long non-coding RNA (TCAC_LNC002185)". The record is from RNAcentral. Lineage: Eukaryota; Viridiplantae; Streptophyta; Magnoliopsida; Malvales; Malvaceae.